AACUCUGUGGGAGUUUAUUUUUGUGUAAAUACAUCAUCAAACAGCCCCUAAUUCAGUCCCAAGCUACAGUAUAUAAGAUGAGCCGCUGCCACACUUUGACAAGUUCAUCAGCUGGUAACAAACCUGCUCACAGCUCAGAUCUAGACUCAGAUUUGGUGCCUUUCAGCGUCUCAACAUGUGUUCGAGUCUCUCCACCAGCCGCCUGAUUCUUCUGAUCUCCCUGAGUGUGAUGAUGCUCAUCUUUGUAUCAGGGGCUGACCACGUGGGACAAACCUGCUAUAAAACAUAUUCUAACAGUGGUGUAAUAAACACGUCUACACCUAAAUGGGCAAAAAACAUCAUCAGCUGCAUUGAACAAAACAGACAUGGCUGCCUACAUGGAUAUGUGGUUAAAACACGUGUAGGAAGAACAUUUCUCCUCAGACCAAACACCGAGUGGCUUAAAAGGAAAAUAAAUGAGGUGAGAAACAAAAUAUUUAUAAAAAUGUGGAAACAAAGUUUAGAAAAACCAACAGUGACAUUCUAGCAAAAGUGUGACGAUUAUACUAUAGGUAAUAAAAAGACACUGUGUAUAUCUGUCUAAUGGUGCUUUAUGUCACCUUCUCUCUUUCACCACCACAGGGAACUCUGCUGUGUCCUCCAAUGAUUUCUAAAUGAUGAUGAUGGAAACGAUGAAGUAAAGUUGACGUAAAGCAGCAACUGGAACCAUUUCUGCUGUUUUAUUUGUUCAAACUUUUACAGAAAUAUUUGUUAAGAAAUGUUGAUUAUUUUUGUAAAUUGUUCAUAUGACUUGAGUCUUAUAUAUUAUAUUUAUUAAAAAUGUCAUUAAAUAUGAAUGUUUGACCGUUUUUAUUCUGUCUUCAAUCUGAGAAGAAAGAUAAACAAUAAAAGCCUUUAAAAUCAGAUUUAUAAUGGUGUGUGUCAUUAUUUAGUAUUUGCUGUAACAACAUAUUCUCAUGAUGAUGUCACAUUCACAGGACACCGGGAGGCUGUGUUUAACACAGAUGGCAGAAGUAAAAGUAAAUAUUCA
This 1030-nucleotide long non-coding RNA is filed under the name Oreochromis niloticus (Nile tilapia). Its description in RNAcentral is "lncRNA (ENSONIG00000023985.2)". Lineage: Eukaryota; Metazoa; Chordata; Actinopteri; Cichliformes; Cichlidae. The record is from RNAcentral.